RNAcentral lists this ribosomal RNA (510 nucleotides) under uncultured bacterium. RNAcentral describes it as "partial 16S ribosomal RNA". It matches the Rfam family "Bacterial small subunit ribosomal RNA", at positions 28 to 507 of the family's 1533-position model. The record is from RNAcentral.
GACGAACGCUGGCGGCGUGCUUAACACAUGCAAGUCGAACGAAGAGCGAUGGAAGCUUGCUUCUAUCAAUCUUAGUGGCGAACGGGUGUGUAACGCGUAAUCAACCUGCCCUUCAGAGGGGGACAACAGUUGGAAACGACUGCUAAUACCGCAUACGAUCUAAUCUCGGCAUCGAGGAUAGAUGAAAGGUGGCCUCUACAUGUAAGCUAUCACUGAAGGAGGGGAUUGCGUCUGAUUAGCUAGUUGGAGGGGUAACGGCCCACCAAGGCGAUGAUCAGUAGCCGGUCUGAGAGGAUGAACGGCCACAUUGGGACUGAGACACGGCCCAGACUCCUACGGGAGGCAGCAGUGGGGAAUCUUCCGCAAUGGACGAAAGUCUGACGGAGCAACGCCGCGUGAGUGAUGACGGCCUUCGGGUUGUAAAGCUCUGUUAAUCGGGACGAAAGGCCUUCUUGCGAAUAGUGAGAAGGAUUGACGGUACCGGAAUAGAAAGCCACGGCUAACUACGUG